UCAAAAGGACAUACACAAAAUCAGAGUGGUAGAGUCAUACCUGGCUGAACUCUCAUGUUGAUGUUUAGUGUCUGGCUUUAUCUAAUCUCACCAUGUUGGUUAGCCUUGCAAGCUCUGAAGCCUCCUCGUGUUAUGUGGUUUCUUUUCUGACUCGGUUCUACCAUACCGCUCUCUUGGUCCGGUGUCACCAAAUUGUGUCCGACUUUACUUUCUCAUGGUUGCAUCAACUUCCGGGGUGCCUUAUCAGAAUAAGUAUGAGGGGUGUCU
This 267-nucleotide long non-coding RNA is filed under the name Lathyrus oleraceus (garden pea). RNAcentral describes it as "Pisum sativum (pea) long non-coding RNA (PSAT_LNC024591)". The record is from RNAcentral. Lineage: Eukaryota; Viridiplantae; Streptophyta; Magnoliopsida; Fabales; Fabaceae.